UAGCUCAUUCGGUAGAGCAUGAGAUUCUUAAUCUCAGGGUUGUGGGUUCAAGCACGUUGGGCAAAA
Non-coding RNA from Podarcis lilfordi (Lilford's wall lizard), 66 nucleotides. Lineage: Eukaryota; Metazoa; Chordata; Lepidosauria; Squamata; Lacertidae. The record is from the annotation of a GenBank genome assembly.